RNAcentral lists this ribosomal RNA (237 nucleotides) under uncultured bacterium. Its description in RNAcentral is "partial 16S ribosomal RNA". It matches the Rfam family "Bacterial small subunit ribosomal RNA", at positions 15 to 241 of the family's 1533-position model. The record is from RNAcentral.
GAUCAUGGCUCAGGAUGAACGCUAGCUACAGGCUUAACACGUGCAAGUCGAGGGGGCAGCAUGGUCUUAGCUUGCUAAGGCCGAUGGCGACCGGCGCACGGGUGAGUAACGCGUAUCCAACCUGCCUUACACUCUUGGACAGCCUUCUGAAAGGGAGAUUAAUACAAGAUGUUAUCAUGAGUAAGCAUUUUCGCAUGAUUAAAGGUUUACCGGUGUAAGAGUGGGGAUGCGGUUCCA